This 392-nucleotide ribosomal RNA is filed under the name Staphylococcus aureus. Its description in RNAcentral is "bacterial SSU rRNA". It matches the Rfam family "Bacterial small subunit ribosomal RNA", at positions 1150 to 1533 of the family's 1533-position model. The record is from RNAcentral. Lineage: Bacteria; Bacillati; Bacillota; Bacilli; Caryophanales; Staphylococcaceae.
UGCCGGUGACAAACCGGAGGAAGGUGGGGAUGACGUCAAAUCAUCAUGCCCCUUAUGAUUUGGGCUACACACGUGCUACAAUGGACAAUACAAAGGGCAGCGAAACCGCGAGGUCAAGCAAAUCCCAUAAAGUUGUUCUCAGUUCGGAUUGUAGUCUGCAACUCGACUACAUGAAGCUGGAAUCGCUAGUAAUCGUAGAUCAGCAUGCUACGGUGAAUACGUUCCCGGGUCUUGUACACACCGCCCGUCACACCACGAGAGUUUGUAACACCCGAAGCCGGUGGAGUAACCUUUUAGGAGCUAGCCGUCGAAGGUGGGACAAAUGAUUGGGGUGAAGUCGUAACAAGGUAGCCGUAUCGGAAGGUGCGGCUGGAUCACCUCCUUUCUAAGGA